Oenanthe melanoleuca is the source of this 1415-nucleotide long non-coding RNA. RefSeq lists it as uncharacterized. The record is from RefSeq and is a predicted model, not a curated record. Lineage: Eukaryota; Metazoa; Chordata; Aves; Passeriformes; Muscicapidae. The transcript has 3 exons.
UGGAGGUCCAGGGAGAGCGCUGGCACCAGCCCAGCCUCCCUGCCGGAGGAAGGGAAUCUGGGUCACAGAUCCUCUCUGAGAACAAGCACAUCUGAUGCUGCCAAGGGAAACAAACUGGCAGGAGAAAGGGGAACAAACUGGAAAGCAACAGGAGGAUGGGGAGAAGUAACUCAGGGAUUGAAACAAGGACACCCCGGGAAAGUUCCUCUUCAUCAGCACUUUAAAAUAUAUUGUUUUGAGUUGGAAUGACUGUCACAAAAGAUGAAAUUAAUAAGUUAAUGCAGGCCAUCAUAAAUAUUGAUAAAUUCCAGUCACAGCAUUCUGCAAAGUUUCUUCUGAGCCGUACAGUCCUCACUGCUUUGCCUGGCAAAGAUGACACAGAAAUUUGAUGUGUCCUACACCUCCAAGUUUAUGACCACUCUAAAAAACACAUUUUCCCUUGAAAAUAAGCUUUGUAGGUGGCUGCCAAUUGUCCAAAAACAGAGUGGCUCACUGCUGGCUGCAAUUGAAGGAAGAAAGGAUAUCUGUGGUUAUUUGUGAAUACUCUCUGUACUAUCACAACACCAGUAUGUGUGGGAGUCCUUGUCUGCUCCUGAAGUCUGAAGCAAUUUUGGAACCUCUGCCACCAAAGGUAAAUAAUCCCAAGGAAGACGCUUGUUUCUCUAAUAGGAUCCUGUUCACUCUCCUCAAGGGCUGGAGCACAACCCUCAAGGCCAAAGCCAAGCAAUAAAGUGAACUUUAACCUUUGGCUUAGAAGAACAGGCAUGUUUGAAAAGAAAAGCCGUGGAAACAUUUCUUGAAGUCACUGAUAUCAUGCCUAAGGUGGUCCACACACUUUCACCUAAGAGGAAACCAGCAGCUCUAGCAAAGGAAUGUCUCUCCUUGGUGCCUACAUCACCUUUGUGUGGUGACAGGUGAAAAAAAAAAACCCACUCUAAAACCUAAGACGUAUAUUAACAGCAACAGUUAACAAAUUGUAUUAUCUGUUCAGCUAAAGGCAGAAAAAAUAUUACAGAAGGAAAAAAAUCAGUAUUGUUAUUUUAAAGGAAAUCCAAAUUAUGAUAUUAGCUUUCCCAGACUGAUAAUCUAAAGCAAACAAACCCAAAGCAAUUUAUUUCGUAUGACAAAAAAAAAAGUAUUAUGAGAAAAAGUACUCAUAUAAAUCAACAGGAAUAACAGCAACACCCAAAGACAUAAAGAGAGGUUUGUCAUUGUAUAGGAGACAAAAUACUUCACAGACCACAGGGAAGGGAAGGUCAUCUAUCAGAAAGCUUCAGACAAUAUGAACAAUUUACAAACUGCAACCAGCAGGAAGAGGAAGAUACACAAUGAAAUGAAAUGCCAUGAAACGGCUUCAUCAGCUGAACUUCAAAUUAAACUGAAAAUGUCAGAAUUAAUGAAGAUUAUCCACUUUA